AGCGAACGCUGGCGGCAGGCUUAACACAUGCAAGUCGAACGGGCGUAGCAAUACGUCAGUGGCAGACGGGUGAGUAACGCGUGGGAACGUGCCUUUUGGUUCGGAACAACUGAGGGAAACUUCAGCUAAUACCGGAUAAGCCCUUACGGGGAAAGAUUUAUCGCCAAAAGAUCGGCCCGCGUCUGAUUAGCUAGUUGGUGAGGUAAUGGCUCACCAAGGCGACGAUCAGUAGCNGGUCUGAGAGGAUGAUCAGCCACACUGGGACUGAGACACGGCCCAGACUCCUACGGGAGGCAGCAGUGGGGAAUAUUGGACAAUGGGCGCAAGCCUGAUCCAGCAAUGCCGCGUGGAUGAAG
RNAcentral lists this ribosomal RNA (356 nucleotides) under uncultured bacterium. RNAcentral's name for it is "bacterial SSU rRNA". It matches the Rfam family "Bacterial small subunit ribosomal RNA", at positions 29 to 410 of the family's 1533-position model. The record is from RNAcentral.